CUAACUUUUUGCUUUGGUCGCACUGGUGCGCCUAACUUUUUUAUACAGCUGUGUUAAUAACAAUUACAACUGUAGACAAAUGUCAGCAGUUUGGACCGGCGGCGCUGUGUCUGUCUGCAUGUCGCAGGUGGGCCGUGUGUGAGUGAUUGGGGGCGGGGCUGCGCGGAGAGGAGAGAUCCAAACACAAGCACGGCUUUACAGAAGAAAUGGGUCACGUAACGCAACAUUAAACCAUAUCGAUAUAAACGACAUCGCUUCGUUAGUGGAGGUGCACCGGUGCGACCUAGGAAAAAUCUUAGUCGCACCCUUACAAAUUUUGGUCGCAUAUGCGACCAAAUUGGUCGCACUCUAGAGCCCUGCUUGUAACGGUGUAUAUUGAUGUU
Sander lucioperca (pikeperch) is the source of this 383-nucleotide long non-coding RNA. RefSeq lists it as uncharacterized. The transcript is spliced from 3 exons. NCBI's taxonomy places the organism in Eukaryota, Metazoa, Chordata, Actinopteri, Perciformes, Percidae. The record is from RefSeq and is a predicted model, not a curated record.